GCGGCUGUAAACAUCCUCGACUGGAAGCUGUGCAUGUGGACGAGCUUUCAGUCGGAUGUUUGCAGCUGC
This 69-nucleotide microRNA precursor is filed under the name Carlito syrichta (Philippine tarsier). RNAcentral's name for it is "microRNA 30a (ENSTSYG00000020073.2)". It matches the Rfam family "mir-30 microRNA precursor family". Rfam says of the family: This family consists of the mammalian microRNA (miRNA) precursor mir-30a. Animal miRNAs are transcribed as ~70nt precursors and subsequently processed by the Dicer enzyme to give a ~22nt product. In this case the mature sequence comes from both the 3' (miR-30) and 5' (mir-97-6) arms of the precursor. The record is from RNAcentral. Lineage: Eukaryota; Metazoa; Chordata; Mammalia; Primates; Tarsiidae.